CCGCCGCCUUCUGUCGACGGAGGCUGCUGACGGGAACGCGACCGGGGUGGGCAGCGCCCGGGGCCGGGCCCUUUUCCUCUGAGGGUCCGCCGGCGGAGCCUGGGGCCCGGCGAGCCAGGCAGAGGCCCUGGGACGUUGGACGCUGGCGAAGACCCGCCUGCUGGGCCCGGCCCGUCUGUGCGCCUUACGGGCUCCGUGACCCCUGGCAGGUCACUUAGGUCGGGCCUCAGUUUCCCCGUCCUUCUAGAGGGCUUGCGACGUGAGAGUGGCCGAGAAGGAAAGAAAGUUCAUGUCACAAGCACCGCCUACCUAAGAACUUUUAUAGAAAGCUGCUGACAAGACUGGAUGAGAUGCUACAGCUGACAAGUAUAUGAAAGAGAAUGAAAUAACUUGAGUUCUGGAGUGAACAGUUAAGUUCCUGGAUUGUUGAAAGUUCCAUUCUUUACAUGGGACUAACCAUCUUUUGUGAGGUUCAACUGAAGAGGCUGUUCUAAGAAAGACGACUGAGGUAAUCAAUUACCUUCCUCGGAGAAAGUCUGCUCAGGUAGCAGUUUGUUUACCAUGUAAACAGUGGAGCAUUUACUGUUGAAAUAGCCGGACUAGAGAUUUUGGACCUCUCGGUGGGGGGGCACAGUGGGGGGCACGAGGGCAAGAGAGAUGGUGGGGGAGAGAAGAUGGGUCUUGGGGAAGGAGACCUGUGGCUUGUCUUUCCCAGUCCCCUCUGAGGAGAUUCAAAAAGGUAAAGACUGUCCCUUCAACUCACAUGGCAGGUGUGUGUCUACUCAUCUUACUGAGCAGGAUGACAAACCAGGUUUUCCCAGAAAGCCUGGGACCGCAGGGGACAGGAGUGACUAGAGGAGGCAGGGGUGCAGGGGAGGACUGCGGAUAAUCCUUAACUUUCCAAAAGCAAGAAUACAGGACACUUCAUGAACUUCAGAUUACUUGCCCCUUUGGUGGGGAGGAGGGGUGACUAUUUUUUUUUUUUACUGAAGGGGACUAAAAUAAUCCAUUUUUAGGGCUCACUUUUCUGAGACCACAGCAAAAAAGCAAAACUCAGAAUCUGUUGCUUUGGGUGAGAAACGGUGAUAAUGAUCUCUAACUCUGCUCAGUGAUUCUAAAAUUGCUAUUUAUAGCAAACAUUACACAUUAAAAACAACUAAACUAAAAAAAUGGAUGCCAGCUAUGGACACAGUAAGAAGAUCAGGGGCUGGGGGGCGGAGGGAAGGACGUCUUGGUGGAGCGCAGAGGAUUUUUAGGGCAGUGAAAGUCUUCUGUUUGCUGCUGUAGUGCUGGAUACAGGUCACUGUAUAAUUGUUAAAGCCUGUAGAAGGUACACCACCAAGGGUGAGCCCUAACGUAAACUGGUCUGUAUUUAAUCAUGUGUCAUAUAUUGGUUCAUCAGUUAGAACAAAUACACCGCAGUAAUAAAAAAUGUUAAUAAGGGGGAAACUGUGUGUGUGAGUGUGGGGAGGGGAGGUAGGAAGGGAGCAAUAUACGGGAACCCUGUGCUUUCUGCUG
Long non-coding RNA from Nyctereutes procyonoides (raccoon dog), 1518 nucleotides. RefSeq lists it as uncharacterized. The record is from RefSeq and is a predicted model, not a curated record. The transcript has 3 exons. NCBI's taxonomy places the organism in Eukaryota, Metazoa, Chordata, Mammalia, Carnivora, Canidae.